Molecule: long non-coding RNA, 629 nt
Organism: Daphnia magna
Lineage: Eukaryota; Metazoa; Arthropoda; Branchiopoda; Diplostraca; Daphniidae
Exons: 2
Source: RefSeq, a predicted model, not a curated record
CUACCACAUUUUUCGUAAGUUUCUGUCAUAUGUUGGAUUACACGGUUUCGAACAACAUUACAAGAAAUGGGAAAUACAAGAGUGUGUUGUAUUUGUGGUGUUUCUACAGUUUAUAAAAAGAAGAAUAGAAAUUCCCGUAGUUUUUUUAAGUUUCCAAACCCGAAUAUCAAAAAGUUAUUGCCAUUUGAUAAGGAUCUGUUGGAAAGGAGGCUUGUUGCAUGGAAAGAAGUUGUUGGAACGAAUUAUGAUAAUUUCCCUAUUGGACUUAUUUGUGUUUGUUCUGACCACUUCCAAUCAGGUAAACCAGCUAACAUUUGCAAUGUAAACGAUAUUGAUUGGAUACCAUCAAAGAAUUUGGAUCUGUUGGUCGCUAACAAAACAAGAAACACUGAAAAUGCUAACGAUGACCAUUCACAGAAUUCCAAUGGUAGAUACAUUGUGAUAACAAACAUGUUCAUGACUGCGAAUGAUCACAAUGCCAUUGGGAAGUGGAAAGGCAAGAAGUUUAUCGGCAAAAGUGUUAUCUACAUAUUGGGGAGAACCGUUUAAAUUUUUGUAUGCCUCAAACUUCUCACCAUCACUGCCAUUCCGUUCAAUAACUAAAUAUAGAACUAAAUGUUUAUUUUUUA